Molecule: ribosomal RNA, 405 nt
Filed under: uncultured bacterium
Lineage: Bacteria
Description: bacterial SSU rRNA
Rfam family: Bacterial small subunit ribosomal RNA
Source: RNAcentral
GGGGAAUAUUGGACAAUGGGCGAAAGCCUGAUCCAGCAACGCCGCGUGAGGGAUGACGGCCUUCGGGUUGUAAACCUCUUUCAGCACCGACGAAGCGAGAGUGACGGUAGGUGCAGAAGAAGGACCGGCCAACUACGUGCCAGCAGCCGCGGUAAUACGUAGGGUCCGAGCGUUGUCCGGAAUUAUUGGGCGUAAAGGGCUCGUAGGCGGUUUGUCGCGUCGGGAGUGAAAACUCAGGGCUUAACUCUGAGCGUGCUUUCGAUACGGGCAGACUUGAGGGAUGCAGGGGAGAAUGGAAUUCCUGGUGUAGCGGUGGAAUGCGCAGAUAUCAGGAGGAACACCGGUGGCGAAGGCGGUUCUCUGGGCAUUUCCUGACGCUGAGGAGCGAAAGCAUGGGGAGCGAAC